Molecule: ribosomal RNA, 494 nt
Filed under: uncultured bacterium
Lineage: Bacteria
Description: bacterial SSU rRNA
Rfam family: Bacterial small subunit ribosomal RNA
Source: RNAcentral
AAAGGAAUAGACGGGGGCCCGCACAAGCGGCGGAGCAUGUGGAUUAAUUCGAUGCAACGCGAAGAACCUUACCUGGGCUUGACAUAUACAGGACUGGGCCAGAGAUGGUCUUUCCCUUUGUGGCUUGUAUACAGGUGGUGCAUGGUUGUCGUCAGCUCGUGUCGUGAGAUGUUGGGUUAAGUCCCGCAACGAGCGCAACCCUUGUCUUAUGUUGCCAGCGGUUCGGCCGGGGACUCAUGAGAGACUGCCGGGGUUAACUCGGAGGAAGGUGGGGAUGACGUCAAAUCAUCAUGCCCCUUAUGUCCAGGGCUUCACACAUGCUACAAUGGUCGGUACAACGCGCUGCGAGCCUGUGAGGGUGAGCGAAUCGCUGAAAGCCGGCCUCAGUUCGGAUUGGGGUCUGCAACUCGACCCCAUGAAGUCGGAGUCGCUAGUAAUCGCAGAUCAGCAACGCUGCGGUGAAUACGUUCCCGGGCCUUGUACACACCGCCCGU